GGAAUAUUGGACAAUGGGUGAGAGCCUGAUCCAGCCAUCCCGCGUGAAGGACGACGGCCCUAUGGGUUGUAAACUUCUUUUGUAUAGGGAUAAACCUACUCUCGUGAGAGUAGCUGAAGGUACUAUACGAAUAAGCACCGGCUAACUCAGUGCC
Molecule: ribosomal RNA, 154 nt
Filed under: uncultured Chryseobacterium sp.
Lineage: Bacteria; Pseudomonadati; Bacteroidota; Flavobacteriia; Flavobacteriales; Weeksellaceae
Description: partial 16S ribosomal RNA
Rfam family: Bacterial small subunit ribosomal RNA
Source: RNAcentral